GGUUAUCAAACCAAGGUCAAGGACAGAUCCUCUAAGUCUUCAUUUCCUCAGGCUGCUGUAACAACUUAACCACAAACUCAGUGGCUAAAACAACACAGAUUUGUUACCCUAUGGUUCUGGAGAUUAAAGGUGCAAUUCUGGUCUCACUGGGCUAAGAUCAAAGUGUCUGAGGGCUGGUUCUUCUGGAAGCUCUAGGGCAGCUUCUGUCUCCUUGCAGUUUCCAGUUUCUAAAGGACACCACAGCCUCAGGCUCCUGGCUCCUUCUCCACCCUCCCGGCCAGCAGCAUCAACCUCAGCUUGCAUCUUGGGCGUGGUCCCUUCUGACCCCACCUUCCUUUCAAGGACCCUGUGAGCACAUAUGUCUCACUGGAAUAAUCCAGAACAAGUGUCCCUUUUCGAGAUCAGUGGUUUAGCAACUUUGUCUCUAUCUGCCACCUUCGCCGGGUAAGAGAGCACGUUCACAGAUUCUGGGAAUUGGGACGUGGAUGUCUUUGUGGGGCUGAUAUAUUGUUGCUGUCAGCUAGGUAAGGGGUUUGGGGUUUAUUCCUGCCUGUAUCAGGAAGUUGUUUGAGG
Molecule: long non-coding RNA, 573 nt
Filed under: Marmota monax (woodchuck)
Lineage: Eukaryota; Metazoa; Chordata; Mammalia; Rodentia; Sciuridae
Source: RNAcentral